Molecule: transfer RNA, 76 nt
Filed under: Janthinobacterium sp. OK676
Lineage: Bacteria; Pseudomonadati; Pseudomonadota; Betaproteobacteria; Burkholderiales; Oxalobacteraceae
Description: tRNA_Pseudo_GTT
Rfam family: tRNA
About the family: Transfer RNA (tRNA) molecules are approximately 80 nucleotides in length.
Source: RNAcentral
UCCCUGAUAGCUCAGUUGGUAGAGCGACGGACUGUUAAUCCGCAGGUCCCUGGUUCGAGUUUUGGUUGGUGCAGCA